Long non-coding RNA from Mauremys reevesii (Reeves's turtle), 847 nucleotides. RefSeq lists it as uncharacterized. The record is from RefSeq and is a predicted model, not a curated record. The transcript is spliced from 3 exons. NCBI's taxonomy places the organism in Eukaryota, Metazoa, Chordata, Testudines, Geoemydidae.
CUCUCUUUGGUGGAGCCAGCUAAUAUUUCAUUAGACACUUGCAAAGAAAGCUCCUUGAGAUGCAGAUUUUAGUUUAAGUACUGGGUGUGGGAGAAGGAGAGCUUCAGGUGAAUGGGAUGUAAUGGAAAGGGAUCCAACCCAGAACCAACCGUAUUUUAAACCAGCAUUUCAUGGGAAACUAACACAGCAAGCUGCUGGUAUAUUAAUAAUGUGCUGAACUAACAGGAUGCAGCCAAAGCUGUAAAGUUUAUUUCUGCAGUGCUACAGCAGCUGUUAGUGUGAAGUAAAAGCUUGUGGAGUGGACUCAUGUAUUGCACACUACUAAUCUGAAAGCUAUUGGCACAGAAUUCCACCCCGAAUCCCUGCUAAAACAAACACCGAAAAGUUUCUGCAAGCCUAUUAAGUACAACUGCGAAUAUUUCCAUCAGGAAUAAUGCCUGGGCUUCACUGUGGUUGCUCUUACACAGGGGUUGGGGUAAUGAGAUCAGAAACCCAUGAAGCUAUUUCUCCAUGCUGCAUGAGCUUCUUUCAGCUGUCAGCACUUAUGAGGGAAGAUCCUAAACUUAUGGCUUGCCAGGGACAUACUAGCAGCAUUUAGAAGGGAAACACAGGAUUCUGAAUUCACAUCUUGAUGGAUAAGCUCUCUGGAGGAGGGACAGUCUUUUCAUUAUGUGUGUACAGCACAUGGCACAAUUGGGGCGCUAAUUCCUGUCUGGGGCCUCUAGAAGCCACUCCUAUACAAGUAAUAAAUAGUUAAUAAUUCCAAUGAGAUCCUGCUGUAUAUUCUGUAAAUGACAAGUCAUGUGAGAGGCUAGUGAGAGGCCAUUCAACAUGUUGUAAAGAACAA